RNAcentral lists this unclassified non-coding RNA (1377 nucleotides) under Apis florea (little honeybee). Its description in RNAcentral is "threonine aspartase 1, transcript variant X2". Lineage: Eukaryota; Metazoa; Arthropoda; Insecta; Hymenoptera; Apidae. The record is from RNAcentral.
ACAAUAUAUAAUAAAAAUCCAUAAAUUUUAUAUCUUGUUUAAAUAUAAACAUAAAUUAUAAAUAUAAAUUAAAUAAAUAGAUAUUUAUAUAUAUAAUUUUAUUUAGAAAUAUUUGCAAAAUAUUAUAAAUAAAAAUAAAUGCAAAAAUUACAUAUGUGAUAAUCACAAAUCAAAAAAAAAAAUAUAAACAUUUAAUAACAUUGAAAACUUAAUAAUAAUAUUAUAAUGAGUAAUAUUAAUCAUGGAUUUGUUGCUGUUCAUGUAGGGGCAGGACGACAUUCAGAAACUCUUAAAGAAAAAUAUCAAAAAUUAUGUCGUCAAGCAUGCAAAGCUGGUAUACAGAAUUUAAAAACUGGUGGUAGUUCAUUAGAUGCUGUAGUAGAAACUGUAAUAGUAUUAGAAAAUUCUCCAUUAACUAAUGCUGGAUUUGGUUCUAAUCUUACAUUAGAAGGAACUGUAGAAUGUGAUGCAAGUGUUAUGGAUGGUACUACAUUGCAAUUUGGAGCUGUUGGUGCAGUUAGUGGAAUAAAAAAUCCUGUUUUAUUGGCAAAACGACUUUGUGAACAUCAAUCAGUUAAGAUUGCAUAUGGUAGAAUUCCACCAAGUUUUCUAGUUGGGAAUGGUGCACAUGUAUGGGCACAAGAAAUGAGAAUCCAAACUUUACCUCCAGAACAAUUAAUUUCAACAAAAGCACAGAAAAUGUAUAAACAUUAUAAAAGAAAAAUAGAAAACUCUAAUGCAGAUGUUCAAAAGUAUACUAAACAAAGAAUGGAUACAGUUGGAGCAAUAUGUGUUGAUAAAGAAGGAAAUAUUGCUGGAGCUUGUUCUAGUGGUGGUAUUAUUUUAAAAUAUCCUGGAAGAGUGGGGCAGGCAGGAAUGUGGGGAUGUGGUACAUGGGCAUAUAAAGAUAAAUAUUCUAUAGGAACAAGCACAUCAGGCUGUGGAGAACAUCUUAUUCGUACUUUACUUGCACGAACAGUUGCAGAAGCUAUUUCGCAUAGUUCUUGUCCUAUUACCAACUUGUAUCAUUCUAUGAAAGCUGAUUUUAUCGGUGAAAACUCAUUCAAAAUUUUUGUGCGGGCUUGAACAGAAACUUGGAGGUGUUAUUGCUAUACGAUAUGCACCACAAGAAGGAUUAGGGGAUUUCCUUUGGAGUCACUCUACAAAUUCAAUGAUAAUAGGUUAUAUGAAUUCAAAUGAACAAACACCAAUGAGUCAUAUGGCUGUUCUUCCAUCUCAUGAAGUUGGUAAGAAAGCAAUCGUUGAAGGAAUUUGUUUUAAAAUCACAUAAUAUAUUAAUGAAUUUAUGAUUUGUGCAAGACAAUAUUACCAUAUUAGAAUAUUACCAUUACAUGUUACCAUAUAAGAAAUUACUUA